GCAAUUGCCUCGCAGGGGUGAUGCCAUGACACGGAGACGUUUCCCCUGGGUGAGGCUUAUCCAUUGCAUUCUGCAUAUGCUGACCCCUGUGAUUUCCCCAAAUACAGAAAAUGAACUGCAUGACUUAUGGUAAGCUGGGACUUUGUUCAUGCUCUCCUC
This 159-nucleotide small nuclear RNA is filed under the name Chinchilla lanigera (long-tailed chinchilla). Its description in RNAcentral is "U1 spliceosomal RNA (ENSCLAG00000020131.1)". It matches the Rfam family "U1 spliceosomal RNA". From Rfam's summary of the family: U1 is a small nuclear RNA (snRNA) component of the spliceosome (involved in pre-mRNA splicing). Its 5' end forms complementary base pairs with the 5' splice junction, thus defining the 5' donor site of an intron. The record is from RNAcentral. Lineage: Eukaryota; Metazoa; Chordata; Mammalia; Rodentia; Chinchillidae.